This is a long non-coding RNA of Antechinus flavipes (yellow-footed antechinus), 538 nucleotides long. RefSeq lists it as uncharacterized. The record is from RefSeq and is a predicted model, not a curated record. The transcript is spliced from 4 exons. Lineage: Eukaryota; Metazoa; Chordata; Mammalia; Dasyuromorphia; Dasyuridae.
CUGAGCCACCGAGAUGUGCAGACCUCCGAGGUAUCAUAGAGGGGUUCCGGAAGCUCCCAGCAAGGGGCCACAGGCUUCCUCGGCUCUCUGGCCAGUGGGGGCACUUCCUGCCACGCCAGCACCAGCUCUGGGCUGGAAUCAAGUAAAGAAUAGAUGGCAGAGACUGCUUCCUUUCUGGUCCUUGUAGCCCCAGAGCCUCGCCCACAGUGAUCUGCCUGAUGCUGCCAGGUGAUUCGUUGUACCUCAGUUGGGAUCAUAGAAUCAUAGAUUUGGAGCUGGAAGGGACCUUAGGGGCCAUCUAGUUUAGCCCCUUCAUUUUACAGGCUCUUCACUAGUUGAGAAUUUGACCUGAUUGUCUCCGGCAAUUACUAUUUUUCCUUUUACUUAUAGCUGCACAGCAGGUUAGUGGAAAGCAAGACUGUGCCCCUGUCUUUGGUUGUGAAAAUAGUGUUCGUUCCUUGCCCAGCUUUUGGAUGUGAAUCUCUUUUGAAUGGUUUAAUUUACAUCAAAUUUCUGCUUCGUUUUUGUUAAUUAGUCU